GCUCAGUAAAAAGACAGAAACUGAGAAAAUUCUAACUCUUUAAAAAUCAGCCAUUUUUGCCCGAGAGGAUGCAAGUUGAAAACGUCUUUGUUUUUUCACUCACAAUUUUAUUUCUGUUCUCACACCCCACCCUCCUUUACAUGAAUAUUAAGGACUAAGGCUUUAGCAACAGGCUUUUGGUUGUGGGGGAGCGAGGGGUAAAGGGAAAAGUGUUGUGUAUGGCUUUUCAUAUGCUAAUAAGUUGAUUCCAUGACAACCAUUGAAAAAAGAAGGGCUGGAAACAAAAGCUGCAGCCAGAGAGAGGAUCAGGGCUCUUUCAGGGACGCUGUAAGAAUAACAGCCAAGACUCCCUCCUCUGAAAGGUAUCUGAUGGCUGCUUGUCAAUGGGCUUUGUUUUAAUAGUGCAGAGUCAGUAUAUAAUUAAUGCAGACUUUUAUGAAUCCAGAUUUUACCCUCAAUGUUGCUUCUAUUUUAAAAAGUAGUGAAUAAGAAUCUGAAACCAAGAGGAUGUCAAAUCACUUCUCUCAUGAUCAUACACUUCAGUUUUACGUAAAAAGGUCAAGGGCUUUUAUCUUUGAGUGAUACAGUGUUUUCUCUGUUUGGAUGGACACAAGAGCUUUCAUCACAAUGGAAUGCUUAUGGAAUCACAUAUUUCAAAGGACACUAACACGAAAAUACAACUUCAUUCAGAGACAGGUUACAAUGAUGAAUA
Molecule: long non-coding RNA, 712 nt
Filed under: Homo sapiens (human)
Lineage: Eukaryota; Metazoa; Chordata; Mammalia; Primates; Hominidae
Description: HSALNT0111903
Source: RNAcentral